Molecule: small RNA, 110 nt
Filed under: Salmonella enterica subsp. enterica serovar Typhimurium
Lineage: Bacteria; Pseudomonadati; Pseudomonadota; Gammaproteobacteria; Enterobacterales; Enterobacteriaceae
Source: RNAcentral
AAUAAUUUAGCUAUUGCAAAAUUAACGGAAAAUGGCUAAUCUGAUUCCAACGAUGGGUUAUUAUGCCUGUGACGUUACAAGAAUUAAGAACCUCGCCUCGGCGGGGUUUU